Molecule: long non-coding RNA, 1307 nt
Organism: Erinaceus europaeus (western European hedgehog)
Lineage: Eukaryota; Metazoa; Chordata; Mammalia; Eulipotyphla; Erinaceidae
Exons: 3
Source: RefSeq, a predicted model, not a curated record
GUGGAAUUCCAGCCUCUCAUCCUGGAGGCAGCCAGAGGUCAUCACUGCCUGAUCCAGAGAAAGCUUCGUGACGCUUAGAAUUUUCCAGAGAGCGAUCAAGACUUAGACUGAAGAGGGAACGUUUGCAAUGAAAGCAGGUUGUGCCAUUGUAGUGCUCAUGCCUGCAACUUCACGCUCUCCCAGUCCAGGAAAUUCUGCCGCAUUUCCCUAAUUCCGGUCAUGUAUAGGCAGUAUUCUAUGUUAGUAUUAAGUGUGGCGCUGAUUUUUAAUGAAUAUUAUAAAAGUUUGGGUCGCUCUACUGAGGGAGGACCAUAAAUUCCCCUCUUGUAAAAUGUGCAUUGGCAUAUACUGAGGAAGCAGGGACACAUGCUGAGAGGCUACGACAUUACCAGAGAGAAGCUAAAGGGUCCGAGAUCAUUUUUCUAACAUCACUACAGAGAACUCCUCACUGAGAUGUAGAACCACUCAGGGGCGGGUGGGGAGAUGUCUCUAAUUUUUUCCGUGAUCAAAUGGGACAAAGUCCCAGAGCUAGACAGAACACUUGGGCUGCUGCCAUUAGGAUGUGACAACCUGCUUCUGAGGUCCCUGCUUGGUUUCCUGGCAAGCCAAGACCACCCAGCUAUGAGUGGAGUUACUCACAUACGCUUGGCGCUUGGGGAGGUGAGGAGGAGGGUGCUGCUAUAACUGAUAUUACCACCGAGCUUCUGGUCCCAGGUAUAUAUUUUGCACUAAUUUAUGGAUACAUGUGUACGUAUGACCUAUGUCAUGGGACCUGCUCUACAUCUAGGUUUUGGAUUUUUGUUGGGAAGUGAACCACUUGAAAUGGAAUUAAGGAGUCCUAUGAGAAAGGAAAUAUCUCACCUGAGUAAUGAGGCUGAAGGUUUGACAUUCCACACCAGAUGUCUUUGGAUACAGUCUGAAGUGAAGCGUGCCAAGGUGGUACUCCUUGCAUUGAUUAAGCUGGGAUCAUCAGAUGCAAUAUCAGUUGGUAUGAAUUGAGAGAAGCAUGCAGGAAAGUGAUCCUGGUGGGACCACUAUUAAGGUAUCUGAAUCAGGGAAGGCUUCCAUGACAAAGGUUUAUGAGCAGAUGUAUGAAUGAAUUGGGACAGGAGGAAAGUUCUUCAGCUGUCUUAGGGAAUGCUUUUCAAAUAUAUAGGAAAACAAGUUCAAAGUCUCUAGGGUACAGUGGACUUGGCAUACUCCAGGGACAACAAAGAGGUGACUGACAGAGAGGAAAAGGCAGGUGAGUAGCAGAUGAUGGUGAGUUGAAUGAUGAAGUGACUUUUUUUUUUUUCCAGAGCACUGCU